AUGGAGGAGCCUCUGAAGGCUCUUUUUGGGGUAACGGAAGAGAGCCUUCUGAUAUCCCUGGUUGAGGGUCACUCCAACCCCACCUCCUCCAGCUCCUCCGAGUUGAGCUGUGCUAUCGUGGGGGAGGUGGUACACCAGCUUAACUCUGGCCUCUCAGUGGCCAUUCAGGCCAGCCCGGGGAGUUGCCCCCCUAUGGACAGUCAGGACAUAGCAGCAGGCAAGGAGGUCAUUCGGGUAGCCUCGGUUCAGAUCCUGGCCGAGCUACAGAGCCAAACAUCUGAGCCAGAGUGGGUAGGGUUUAUCGAGCCCCUCAUGGACCCUGUGACCGAUGAUGUGCUGGAGGCCAUUGUCGGCACAAUGGACAAAAUGGCACAGGACUUCAACAUCCUAUUGGAUCUGGCCAAGAAGAUGACAAUCUUGGGGUCUAAAUUUCUGACCAAUCUUCAAUGUGACCUAGAUGUUGAGUGUCCAUCUGGGAAGGAAGGGACCACUCACUUUCUCAAAGAGACUGGAUCCUCUACCAGUGUGGUGGCCAGAAAGAUUCAGACCCUCUCUAGCCCCGACUUUCAGUCUAAAGCCCUGAAGGCGGUGAGCACCAUCCUUACAAGGAAAGUCAGCAGCUCUUCUGGCAUGGCUCCUUCCUCUAGGCCUUCUAGUGCUGCUCCUAGCCUUACUGAAGUCCCGCUGAAUACCAGCUGCACAGCCCUGACAUCUGUAACCUCCACUGCCACAGUGAUUGUUAAGGCAUUUGUGGGAGGCAUGGAGACGAUAGCAUCAUUUGAAGACACAUGUGAAGCAGUUGAUUGGCCAGUUCCUGUAAAUGACCACAAAACAGGGUCUUCACAGAAGAUAACCUUCUCUCUAGCCGGUACACUCUAUGGCCGUAUACGAGCAAAGCUGAGGGACCUUUUAACUCUAGCCGCUCGAGAAGAAGGUGUGGCAAAGGAUGCUUCUCUUCGGGAGUCUUCAGACACCCUGGAAAAGGCAACUGUUUCAACUGUUGAGGUCCAGUUACCCAGCACCGAACACAGUAGAGUUCCCAGAGAGAGCCAACCAAUACCAGCUCUCUGUCUCUCCAAUCUGGAUACCAGUACUCAAGAAGUUCUUAGCAGUGUUUUUUCCAUCUACAAGUCAGAGUUAUCAAAAGUGGAGAGUAAAUCCUUGGCCGUUGUCAGUUCAUCUGAUGAGUCCCUAGAGGCUUGUUGGUUUGUUGAUGGUGUCCUAUCAAAGCUCGAUGACUAUACUAUUUCCCAGUCACCCUCACCCAAUGAAGACUUGAGCGUGAGUACUCAAUAUUCUCAACUGAGCUCAGAAGAGAGUGUCAGAAUCACAGAGUCCUCAACUAGUCUGAUUCAGAGCAUUAAGAAGCUCUCUAGCAAUGACUUUCAGAUUCAGGCAGAAGAGGCAGUGAGUAAAGUGCUGAUGAGAUCCAGUCAUUCCUUUAUCACACAGAUCAGCCAUACUGGUCUUCAGAAAAGUCUGCAGGCUGGCUUAUCAUCUAGCUCACCAUCAGAGAUCCAUGUCCUUUCAGAAUCCAUGUCCUCCAUGUCCUCUGAGAAUACAGCCUCUGGAUUAGUGGAAACCUUUGUCAAAGGAAUGGCGACUAUUUUCCAGAAAAAUGAGUCCACUGACUCUGUGCUACUGGAAAGAAGUGGGAGAGUUUCACAGUGCUCCCACGGGGGCUCCCAACUGGAUGAUACUGAAUUGAGUGUUAAAAUAUCAGAGGAGAAGCUUUGGUCAACAGCUAAGAACAUCUGCGUCAGUAUGAAGAACACACUUAAGGAUUUCUUCACAGGGCUGAAGCCAUCCGGAUCCGAAAGGACAGAAAUGGCUUCUUCCAAAGAGACCCUUGGGGAAAUCCUGGUUGCUAUCCAGAGUGAAAUCUCAAACUUCGGGCGAAUGAAGGAUUCCAGGGAGCUCCUUCAGAUCAAUGAUAUGGUAGGAACUAUGCUGAAGGAGAUUGAGAAAAGUGAGGAUGACAGUGAACAAGUCUGCCAAGACAUCCCUCGAACCUGUUCAUCUUUAUCCACUUCUUUAAAUGGUCGUAGUUCCUUGUCCAGCUCUUCAAAGGGUCCUAGGUCAGAGUGUGAGUUAGAGAUCAACCUCCCUGGCACUCCCAUCCCUGACAAAGUGCCUUUUGAUCUGACCUGCCCCAUCGUCAGGAGCUCCUGCAUCGACACCAGGGACAAGAUGAUGGCACACACAGAUGAACCCCUGCAUCGUAACAGUCCAAUGACUGACAGCAGCCGACCACCGAGUGCUAAAGUCUCUUUUCGAUCCUCCACUCCGUCUUUCACCAGCAAGGGAACCUCUUUGGUACCAAAGGGAGAGGGGAUUGACAUUGAAGAGAAGGAGGUGUGUAUCCCCAGCAGCUCUGGCCAUCUGAGGGAGCUCUUAAUCAUCCCGGACAUCAGCAGUGCCACUGCAUUCCCACUCCAGUACUUGAAGGACUCCAGCAAAGAUGAUGGCAUCUGUUUUGUCACCAUACUGGUGAUAAGGUUGCUAUCGGAGAUCAGACCCUCAGCCCUAGAUGGACCCUCCCAACAGGCAGCAGAUCUGACCGAAACAUCUCAGCAACUCAUCAGACAAGUCCUGUCUGAGUUCUGUGCUGCAUCCAGAUUAUCCAGGACACAGGCAUAUUCCCAGAACCUGAACAUCCAAAGGGUGUUCAGAGGUGUACAUAAAAACCUCAUGGAGGAGUUUGGCUCUUAUAACACCCUGCAAGCAGCUAUUUCCUCCCAGGACCCUGCAUUUGACAGAGUCCUGGUAAAGUCCUUGACCCAGCAGCUGGUACAGGGAUGUAAGGAGGCGUCAAGACCAGCUUCUGCUGCAACAAACCCAUCAGACCAGGCUGAGACGGAGAGGGGGGCUGAGCAGAAAGCAAGAAGGAGCUUCCUUUGCUUUUCAAUGACUAAACUCAGGAUCAACUUCAAGGUAUAG
This is a long non-coding RNA of Oncorhynchus mykiss (rainbow trout), 2940 nucleotides long. NCBI's taxonomy places the organism in Eukaryota, Metazoa, Chordata, Actinopteri, Salmoniformes, Salmonidae. The record is from Ensembl.